RNAcentral lists this ribosomal RNA (774 nucleotides) under uncultured fungus. Its description in RNAcentral is "eukaryotic LSU rRNA". It matches the Rfam family "Eukaryotic large subunit ribosomal RNA", at positions 30 to 821 of the family's 3401-position model. The record is from RNAcentral. Lineage: Eukaryota; Fungi.
GAACUUAAGCAUAUCAAUAAGCGGAGGAAAAGAAACCAACAGGGAUUGCCUUAGUAACUGCGAGUGAAGCGGCAAAAGCUCAAAUUUGAAAUCUGGCGUCUUUGGCGUCCGAAUUGUAAUUUGGAGAGGCGACUUCGGAGAUGGUGCUGUCCUAAGUUCCUUGGAACAGGAUGACAUAGAGGGUGAGAUCCCCGUGCCUGGAUGGCUGUCCAUCUUCAUGUGAAUUGCCUUCGAAGAGUCGAGUUGUUUGGGAAUGCAGCUCAAAAUGGGUGGUAAAUUUCAUCUAAAGCUAAAUAUUGGCGAGAGACCGAUAGCGCACAAGUAGAGUGAUCGAAAGAUGAAAAGCACUUUGAAAAGAGAGUUAAAAAGUACGUGAAAUUGUUGAAAGGGAAGCGCUUGAGACCAGACUCGAUUCGUGGUGAUCAGCUGUGCUUCUGUACGGUGCACUCGCCAUGGAUUGGGCCAGCAUCGGUUCUGACGGUGGGAUAAAAGGUUGAGGAAUGUGUCUUCCUUCGGGGAGUGUUAUAGCCUCACUCACAAUGCCACCAGCUGGGACCGAGGACCGCGCUUCGGCUAGGAUGCUGGCGUAAUGGUCUUAAGCGACCCGUCUUGAAACACGGACCAAGGAGUCUAACAUCUAUGCGAGUGUUCGGGUGGAAAACCCUUGCGCGUAAUGAAAGUGAACGGAGGUGGGAACCCGCAAGGGUGCACCAUCGACCGAUCCCGAUGUCUUCGGAAGGAUUUGAGUAAGAGCAUAGCUGUUGGGACCCGAAA